CCUACGGGAGGCAGCAGUGGGGAAUAUUGGACAAUGGGCGAAAGCCUGAUCCAGCAAUGCCGCGUGAGUGAUGAAGGCCUUAGGGUCGUAAAGCUCUUUUACCAGGGAUGAUAAUGACAGUACCUGGAGAAUAAGCUCCGGCUAACUCCGUGCCAGCAGCCGCGGUAAUACGGAGGGAGCUAGCGUUGUUCGGAAUUACUGGGCGUAAAGAGUACGUAGGCGGUUAUUCAAGUCAGAGGUGAAAGCCCGGGGCUCAACCCCGGAACUGCCUUUGAAACUAGAUAACUAGAGUCUUGGAGAGGUUAGUGGAAUUCCGAGUGUAGAGGUGAAAUUCGUAGAUAUUCGGAAGAACACCAGUGGCGAAGGCGACUAACUGGACAAGUACUGACGCUGAGGUACGAAAGCGUGGGGAGCAAACAGGAUUAGAUACCCUGGUAGUCCACGCCGUAAACGAUGAUAACUAGUUGUUCGGUCACUUGGUGACUGAGUGACGCAGCUAACGCAUUAAGUUAUCCGCCUGGGGAGUACGGUCGCAAGNUUAAAACUCAAAUGAAUUGACGG
RNAcentral lists this ribosomal RNA (561 nucleotides) under uncultured bacterium. RNAcentral describes it as "bacterial SSU rRNA". It matches the Rfam family "Bacterial small subunit ribosomal RNA", at positions 338 to 916 of the family's 1533-position model. The record is from RNAcentral.